Molecule: ribosomal RNA, 253 nt
Filed under: uncultured bacterium
Lineage: Bacteria
Description: partial 16S ribosomal RNA
Rfam family: Bacterial small subunit ribosomal RNA
Source: RNAcentral
UACGGAGGGGGCUAGCGUUAUCCGGAAUCAUUGGGUUUAAAGGGUCCGUAGGCGGUUUUGUAAGUCAGUGGUGAAAGCCCAUCGCUCAACGGUGGAACGGCCAUUGAUACUGCAAGACUUGAAUUACUAGGAAGUAACUAGAAUAUGUAGUGUAGCGGUGAAAUGCUUAGAUAUUACAUGGAAUACCAAUUGCGAAGGCAGGUUACUACUAGUGGAUUGACGCUGAUGGACGAAAGCGUGGGGAGCGAACAGG